Molecule: ribosomal RNA, 497 nt
Filed under: uncultured bacterium
Lineage: Bacteria
Description: partial 16S ribosomal RNA
Rfam family: Bacterial small subunit ribosomal RNA
Source: RNAcentral
GAUGAACGCUGGCGGCGUGCCUAAUACAUGCAAGUCGAGCGAACAGACGAGGAGCUUGCUCCUCUGACGUUAGCGGCGGACGGGUGAGUAACACGUGGAUAACCUACCUAUAAGACUGGGAUAACUUCGGGAAACCGGAGCUAAUACCGGAUAAGAUAUUGAACCGCAUGGUUCAAUAGUGAAAGACGGUUUUGCUGGCACUUAUAGAUGGAUCCGCGCCGCAUUAGCUAGUUGGUAAGGUAACGGCUUACCAAGGCAACGAUGCGUAGCCGACCUGAGAGGGUGAUAGGCCACACUGGAACUGAGACACGGUCCAGACUCCUACGGGACGCAGCAGUAGGGAAUCUUACGCAAUGGGCGAAAGCCUGACGGAGCAACGCCGCGUGAGUGAUGAAGGUCUUCGGAUCGUAAAACUCUGUUAUUAGGGAAGAACAACUGUGUAAGUAACUAUGCACGUCUUGACGGUACCUAAUCAGAAAGCCACGGCUAACUACGUG